Long non-coding RNA from Callorhinus ursinus (northern fur seal), 996 nucleotides. RefSeq lists it as uncharacterized. NCBI's taxonomy places the organism in Eukaryota, Metazoa, Chordata, Mammalia, Carnivora, Otariidae. The record is from RefSeq and is a predicted model, not a curated record.
CUUCCUGGGUCUUGGGCCUGCCAAUAUUCAGACUGGGACUACAUACACCAUCAGCUCUCCUGUGGUCUCCAGCUUGGUGACUGAAGAUCUUGGAACUUGUCAAGCUCCAUAAUCAUUUUAACAGGCUCUUUCCUCAAAUCCCCAAAUUCAAAUAUGACUCAUCUCUCCGCUGAACCACCCACUACAAUGUCAACAGCUCCACAACUUGCAAGUCCUUCCAAAGUGUUUUAAAGAAUGAUUUAUUAAAGGAAAAUAUACAUCAACAAGUAGAUAUACUCCACCACAGCAGCAUAAGACCAUUCAUUAAUUCCGCAAGCAUUUUUUUAAGCACCUACCAACGCACCAAAUUGGAGAAAGGAAGAUGAAAUAAACACAAACCAUUUCCUUAAAGAGGGAAGAUAUAUACAAUCUAAGAGGGAAAGAAAGUACCGGAUGUUUAUUGAGCGUCUAUACUUUCUCAGGCCUUAUUCCAAGAUGGGAGCCAUUUGCAGGAAUCAUAAGAUGUGGGUUAACAUUUUGGAGAUUGUGGGAUCCAUGGAAUUCGCAGUACUGGGAAAAUGUGCUUCUGGCUUUUGAACCCAUCAUCCUAUUUCCUUUGUUGCUUUUAUGCUACUGGAGACAGCAGGGAAUUCAGGACUAAAAGGCAGAUCUUGGGAGAGUCUGCAACUUAUUUUGAAUAACUUUGGCUCCGCUGGAGAAGGAGGAUAUGACCAAUGGAACCCUGGAUGGGAAACAUGCACAAACCCAUGUAAUAGCCUAAGGGAUAAGCUCACCCAGCUCCACUUGGAAACCUUUAUAAUGAUCAAUGGCAGAUCAGUUGCAAGAUGUGAAGAAUCCUCAAGAAGAAAAAUGUGUGAGCUAAGUGUUCCCAAGAUCUUUAGCCUUCUGAAGUUAAAACUCUGGCCUUUCAAAUGCGAACUCAACAACUGAGCCCCGUCUGCACAAAUGCACUAAAUGAUGCAGUCGGUCUAAUACCUUGUCUCUUAUUUCCCCGGG